Molecule: transfer RNA, 65 nt
Filed under: Vibrio cholerae
Lineage: Bacteria; Pseudomonadati; Pseudomonadota; Gammaproteobacteria; Vibrionales; Vibrionaceae
Description: tRNA-OTHER
Rfam family: tRNA
About the family: Transfer RNA (tRNA) molecules are approximately 80 nucleotides in length. Their secondary structure includes four short double-helical elements and three loops (D, anti-codon, and T loops).
Source: RNAcentral
GUGGCUAUAGCUCAGUUGGUAGAGCCCCGGAUUGUGNNNGGGUUCGAGCCCCAUUAGCCACCCCA